Molecule: ribosomal RNA, 269 nt
Filed under: uncultured prokaryote
Description: partial 16S ribosomal RNA
Rfam family: Bacterial small subunit ribosomal RNA
Source: RNAcentral
UACGGAGGGUGCAAGCGUUGUCCGGAUUUAUUGGGUUUAAAGGGUGCGUAGGCGGUACGUUAAGUCAGUGGUGAAAUCUCUCGGCUCAACCGGGAAACUGCCAUUGAUACUGGCGUACUUGAGUAUGGACGAGGUAGGCGGAAUUUAUGGUGUAGCGGUGAAAUGCAUAGAUACCAUAAAGAACACCGAUAGUGAAGACAGCUUACUAGACCAUAACUGACGCUGAGGCACGAAAGCGUGGGGAGCGAACAGGAUUAGAUACCCCCGUA